GUGUGUGAGUGUGUGAGUGUGUGAGUAAGCAUACACACAAGCCCAGUUUAGAAGAAGACAAGUACAGUCCUUUAAUACAGCCUUCUUUACAAUGAGACAAGGACAGUCCUUUAAUACAGCCUUCUUUACAAUGAGACAAGCACAGUCCUUUAAUACAGCCUUCUUUACAAUGAGAGAAUGAACAAACAAACUGAAUCGACAAACAUUUCAUAAUAAUACAGUUUGGCAGAUGGAGUGAGUGUGUGUGUGUGUGUGAGAGAGAGCAAGGGAGUGUGAGUGUGUGUGAGUGUGUGAGAGCAAGGGAGUGUGUUUGUGUGUGUGAGCAAGGGAGUGAGUGUGUCUGUGUGAUGUGAGUGAGAGUUAGUAUGUGUGUGUGUGUGUGUGUGUGUAUCCUGGAUAGCUGACAUGUUGACUGCAUGACAUUCUCUGAUGUAUGAGAUGUGUGUGGAUUCUGCUUGUGUGUGAGAUAUGUGUUUGGAUUGUGUGUGUGUGAGAUAUGUGUUUGGAUUGUGUGUGUGUGUGUGUGUGUGUGAUAUGUGUGUGGAUUGUGUGUGUGUGUGAUAUGUGUGUGGAUUGUGUGUGUGUGAUAUGCGUGUGUGUGUGGAGACUAAGGGUAAAAGCAUGCAGCACGCGAGCAUUAACUUUAAACAAACACCAUCGGAGGAGAGAGAACACACACACACACACACACUGGAGCCAAUGGAGACCAGCUAGAGUGAGGUGAGGCAAGGCAACACACACACACACACACACUCCUGCCGUACUGUCGGUAUACACAGCAGUAGUAGUAGUCUGUAACACACACACACACACACACACACUCAUCUCCUGCCAUACUGUUGAUAUACACAGCAGCAGUAGUAGUCUAUAACACACACACACACACACACACACACACACACACACACACACUCAUCUCCUGCCGUCCUGUCGGUAUACACAGCAGUAGUAGUAGUCUAUAACACAAAGAUUGCAAUAAAACACGAGAAACAAUAACAGCUCUAUGUUCCCAUUAUAAUCACACACACACAAACAAAUCAAAUAAAAAAAGAAUCACACACACACACAAACAAAUAAAAAAAAGAAUCACACACACACACACACACACACACACACAUAAUAGCAGCUCUAUGUGUGCUUCCACGGUAUCUGACCUGGCAGACACACGGGCUAUUCUGCAUUA
This is a long non-coding RNA of Clupea harengus (Atlantic herring), 1183 nucleotides long. The record is from Ensembl. NCBI's taxonomy places the organism in Eukaryota, Metazoa, Chordata, Actinopteri, Clupeiformes, Clupeidae.